Stegodyphus dumicola is the source of this 645-nucleotide long non-coding RNA. RefSeq lists it as uncharacterized. The record is from RefSeq and is a predicted model, not a curated record. NCBI's taxonomy places the organism in Eukaryota, Metazoa, Arthropoda, Arachnida, Araneae, Eresidae.
AUAACAUAUAACAUAAGUUGAAUUUUAUGAUUCAAUUACGUGUUUUGAAAACAUGUCUAUACGCAUCAGCUCAAGGAGAUGGAAAUCAUUUACUCGACAAGAGAACGAUUUUAAUAUUUCGCUCAAGAAACAUUCAGGCGUAAGAUUUUGCUGUGUGAUUCUCAAACCAUAUCAGAUCUUCAAGAAAAGAAGGAUUAAUUUACUACAGUAUUCAUGUCUAAAGUGGAGAGCAGUUACGCGAAGCUUCCUGUUUUUUUAAUGCAAUGUAUCUGUAGUUGAAUGGAGACAUGGGCAAUGCACUAAAGGAAACCGUUACACCGUGAAGUCGAAGCAGCUGGCAAAUAAAUCACUGAGAGAAUAGUGAGGGGAGCUUUCAAAGUUUGACUAUGAAGUUAAAAGCUGUGAGCGCGAAGAGUGAAUAUGGACUAAUUUUUGACGCUAUGAUUAUAAUCAUUGAAAAGUUUAUGAGCAUGGGGCCACGAGAUCUCAAAAAAGGUUCUUAAGCACUAAUCAAAGAGCUUAGAGCACCUGAAGCCGUUUAGAAGUUUAAAAAGUGCACAAUGAACUUACAAUAAGAUCUAAAUUUAAAUGAGUAAAAUAUUUUCUGUGUAGUGCAUUACCUGAAUAAAAAGUUUUGAGACUGCC